RNAcentral lists this small nuclear RNA (158 nucleotides) under Homo sapiens (human). Lineage: Eukaryota; Metazoa; Chordata; Mammalia; Primates; Hominidae. The record is from RNAcentral.
CUGCCUCACCCCCCUUCUAAAAAAAAGUAGCUGAGCAUAGUGGUACACAUCUGUAGUCUCAGCUACUCUGAAGGCUGAGGCGAAAUCACUUGAACCCAGGAGGCAGAGGUUGCAGUGAGCCAAGAUGGUGUCACUCUACUCCAGCUUGGGCAACAGUG